GCAUACAGCCUGGCUCCAAAAUCCGGCUCCAUGACUGAUGAGGAGGGAAAAAAACUAAAAGGAAACGCAUUUUCGAGUUGCACAUCAUGAUCAGGCACAGAGUCCAGAUACACUUGGAGUAGCAAGCAUCCAUCCUUGUGGAGACGCACAUGAACCAGGACUCUCUGCACCCACCCCUCUCAAGUUUUAUUUUCCGACGGCUGUAAUGUUCCAGGACACCUGCCAUCAUGGAGGGUUAUCCAGCACCUGGAGGAUACCUGCUACCUAGUGGAUAAACAGGAGGGAAAGAGAAAG
Molecule: long non-coding RNA, 294 nt
Filed under: Homo sapiens (human)
Lineage: Eukaryota; Metazoa; Chordata; Mammalia; Primates; Hominidae
Description: non-protein coding LINC00299:13
Source: RNAcentral